Molecule: ribosomal RNA, 253 nt
Filed under: uncultured bacterium
Lineage: Bacteria
Description: partial 16S ribosomal RNA
Rfam family: Bacterial small subunit ribosomal RNA
Source: RNAcentral
UACGGGGGGAGCAAGCGUUGUUCGGAUUUACUGGGCGUAAAGGGCGCGUAGGCGGUAGCACAAGUCAGUUGUGAAAUCUCCGGGCUUAACUCGGAAAGGGCAACUGAUACUGUGCGACUAGAGUGCAGAAGGGGCAACUGGAAUUCUCGGUGUAGUGGUGAAAUGCGUAGAUAUCCGGAGGAACACCAGUGGCGAAGGCGACUUUCUGGCCUGUUCUUGACGCUGAGGCGCGAAAGCUAGGGGAGCAAACGGG